RNAcentral lists this ribosomal RNA (253 nucleotides) under uncultured bacterium. RNAcentral describes it as "partial 16S ribosomal RNA". It matches the Rfam family "Bacterial small subunit ribosomal RNA", at positions 524 to 776 of the family's 1533-position model. The record is from RNAcentral.
UACGUAGGGUGCGAGCGUUAAUCGGAAUUACUGGGCGUAAAGCGUGCGUAGGCGGUCCGCAAAGUCUGAUGUGAAAGCCCCGGGCUCAACCUGGGAACUGCAUUGGAAACUACCGGGCUCGAGUGUGGCAGAGGGGGGUGGAAUUCCACGUGUAGCAGUGAAAUGCGUAGAGAUGUGGAGGAACACCGAUGGCGAAGGCAGCCCCCUGGGCUAACACUGACGCUCAGGCACGAAAGCGUGGGGAGCAAACAGG